AAAGGAGAGACUCGACGAGUUGGAUCCAGACUCGCCGAGUAGGGUCGCAGGUUUGGUCGCGGGUUCGCGACUGGACUCGACGAGUCCAGGUAUGGACUCGGCGAGUCGACGCUGUUCAGUGGAAAACCUUAGCCGUUCNCUGUUCAGUGGAAAACCCUAGCCGUUCAGUUUGGGACGUAUAUAAGGGAUCUUAUGCCGUCAUUGUUCGUCUUUUUGGCCGAGUGAGGAGAACCCUAAACGACUGUGGCAUCUAGAGCAAGCUUGAAGGCCAUUAUUGACCUUGAAGGAAUUGUGGUGCAAGAAGAGGAAGGAUUUUGGCCAAAGGAAGAUCAAGGGGAUCGAGUUCUGAGGUUUGGGGGAUCAGAGAGUACGUUUUCAGGUAAUGUUUUGGAUCAUUCCUGUUAUUUUGAUGUGUACACGGAUUUAGGGUUUAUGAAACCCAUUUGGUGAUUUGAUGGAUUAUUAUGUUGUUAUACAAAAGUUUAUACCCCAGUAAUAGGAGGAUUAGAGGUCCAGAAGUCCCAUGAGUGUGUAUUGCGGGACCAUACGUAAUUCUGGGAGCAGUUGAUCGACUGCAUGGCGUGGACUCGCCGAGUCGGAUGAGCAGACUCGGCGAGUAGCUU
This 623-nucleotide long non-coding RNA is filed under the name Lactuca sativa (garden lettuce). RNAcentral's name for it is "long non-coding RNA (LSAT_LNC005669)". The record is from RNAcentral. Lineage: Eukaryota; Viridiplantae; Streptophyta; Magnoliopsida; Asterales; Asteraceae.